Non-coding RNA from Lutzomyia longipalpis, 45 nucleotides. Lineage: Eukaryota; Metazoa; Arthropoda; Insecta; Diptera; Psychodidae. The record is from Rfam.
AAAAACGCCCUUUUCAGGGCGACAAAAGUAUUAAGUAAAGAGUUU